GAUGAACGCUGGCGGCGUGCCUAAUACAUGCAAGUCGAGCGAACAGACGAGGAGCUUGCUCCUCUGACUUUAGCGGCGGACGGGUGAGUAACACGUGGAUAACCUACCUAUAAGACUGGGAUAACUUCGGGAAACCGGAGCUAAUACCGGCUAAUAUUUUGAACCGCAUGGUUCAAUAGUUAAAGACGGUUUUGCUUUCACUUAUCGAUGGAUCCGCGCCGCAUUAGCUAGUUGGUAAGGUAACGGCUUACCAAGGCGACGAUGCGUAGCCGACCUGAGAGGGUGAUCGGCCACACUGGAACUGAGACACGGUCCAGACUCCUACGGGAGGCAGCAGUAGGGAAUCUUCCGCAAUGGGCGAAAGCCUGACGGAGCAACGCCGCGUGAGUGAUGAAGGUCUUCGGAUCGUAAAACUCUGUUAUUAGGGAAGAACAAAUGUGUAAGUAACUAUGCACGUCUUGACGGUACCUAAACAGAAAGCCACGGCUAACUACGUG
This 497-nucleotide ribosomal RNA is filed under the name uncultured bacterium. RNAcentral's name for it is "partial 16S ribosomal RNA". It matches the Rfam family "Bacterial small subunit ribosomal RNA", at positions 28 to 507 of the family's 1533-position model. The record is from RNAcentral.